Molecule: ribosomal RNA, 487 nt
Filed under: uncultured bacterium
Lineage: Bacteria
Description: partial 16S ribosomal RNA
Rfam family: Bacterial small subunit ribosomal RNA
Source: RNAcentral
GACGAACGCUGGCGGCGUGCUUAACACAUGCAAGUCGAACGGAAAGGCUCCAGCUUGCUGGCGUACUCGAGUGGCGAACGGGUGAGUAACACGUGGGUGAUCUGCCCUGCACUUCGGGAUAAGCCUGGGAAACUGGGUCUAAUACCGGAUAGGACCGCACUUUGGUGUGUGUGGUGGAAAGGUUUUUCUGGUGUGGGAUGAGCUCGCGGCCUAUCAGUUAGUUGGUGGGGUAAUGUCGUAGCAAGACUACGACGGGUAGCCGGCCUGAGAGGGUGAACGGGCACACUGGAACUGAGACACGGUCAAGACUCGGACGGGAGGCAGCAGUAGGGAAUCUGACGGAAAGGGCGAAAGAGUGACGGAGCAACGCCGCGUGAGUGAUGAAGGUCUGCGGAUAGUAAAACUCUGUUAGGAGGGAAGAAAAAAUGUGUAAGGAACUAUGCACGUCUUGAAGCGACCUAAGAAGAAAGUCACGGCUAACUACGUG